RNAcentral lists this transfer RNA (73 nucleotides) under Nanobdellota archaeon. RNAcentral's name for it is "tRNA-Asn". It matches the Rfam family "tRNA". From Rfam's summary of the family: Transfer RNA (tRNA) molecules are approximately 80 nucleotides in length. Their secondary structure includes four short double-helical elements and three loops (D, anti-codon, and T loops). The record is from RNAcentral. RNAcentral also lists the same sequence under 1 other name. Lineage: Archaea; Nanobdellati; Nanobdellota.
GUCCCGAUAGCUCAGCAGGUAGAGCACACGGCUGUUAACCGUGGGGUCGGAGGUUCGAGUCCUCUUCGGGACG